This 494-nucleotide ribosomal RNA is filed under the name uncultured bacterium. RNAcentral's name for it is "partial 16S ribosomal RNA". It matches the Rfam family "Bacterial small subunit ribosomal RNA", at positions 28 to 507 of the family's 1533-position model. The record is from RNAcentral.
GACGAACGCUGGCGGCGUGCUUAGCACAUGCAAGUCGAACGGUGAAGCGCCUUCCUUUUUGGUGGGUGUGGAUGAGUGGCGAACGGGUGAGUAACACGUGAGUAACCUGCCCCCUUCUUCUGGAUAACCGCAUGAAAGUGUUGCUAAUACGGGAUAUUCUGGGUCUGUCGCAUGAUGGGUCUGGGAAAGAUAUUGUUUCGGUGGGGGAUGGGCUCGCGGCCUAUCAGCUUGUUGGUGGGGUGAUGGCCUACCAAGGCGGUGACGGGUAGCCGGCCUGAGAGGGUGGACGGUCACACUGGGACUGAGACACGGCCCAGACUCCUACGGGAGGCAGCAGUGGGGAAUAUUGCACAAUGGGCGCAAGCCUGAUGCAGCGACGCCGCGUGAGGGAUGGAGGCCUUCGGGUUGUGAACCUCUUUCGCCAGUGAAGCAGGCCUGCCUCGUUUGUGGGUGGGUUGACGGUAGCUGGAUAAGAAGCGCCGGCUAACUACGUG